CAAUAGCGUAUAUUAAAGUUGUUGCAGUUAAAAAGCUCGUAGUUGGAUUUCUGGAUGGAGCGACCGGUCGGGCAUUAAUUUGUCUGCACUGGAGUCGGUUCCGUCCAUCCUCUUGGAAAGUGCGUGGGGCAUUAAGUUGUCUGGCGUAUGAUCCAAGUCGUUUACUGUGAAAAAAUUAGAGUGUUUAAAGCAGGCCUUCGCCUUGAAUACAUUAGCAUGGAAUAAUAAGAUAGGACUUUGGUCUAUUUUGUUGGUUUGCAGACCGAAGUAGUGAUUAAUAGGGAUAGUUGGGGGUAUUUAUAUUCCGAUGUCAGAGGUGAAAUUCUUAGAUUUUCGGAAGAUAAACUUAUGCGAAAGCAUUUACCAAGGAUGUUUUCAUUAA
This 382-nucleotide ribosomal RNA is filed under the name uncultured eukaryote. RNAcentral describes it as "partial 18S ribosomal RNA". It matches the Rfam family "Eukaryotic small subunit ribosomal RNA", at positions 592 to 976 of the family's 1831-position model. The record is from RNAcentral.